Molecule: ribosomal RNA, 270 nt
Filed under: uncultured bacterium
Lineage: Bacteria
Description: partial 16S ribosomal RNA
Rfam family: Bacterial small subunit ribosomal RNA
Source: RNAcentral
CUACGUGCCAGCAGCCGCGGUAAUACGUAGGGGGCAAGCGUUAUCCGGAUUUACUGGGUGUAAAGGGAGCGUAGACGGCAUAGCAAGUCUGGAGUGAAAGCCCGGGGCUCAACCCCGGGACUGCUUUGGAAACUGUUUAUCUAGAGUGCUGGAGAGGUAAGUGGAAUUCCUAGUGUAGCGGUGAAAUGCGUAGAUAUUAGGAGGAACACCAGUGGCGAAGGCGGCUUACUGGACAGUAACUGACGUUGAGGCUCGAAAGCGUGGGGAGCA